GGAGAAUCUAGAUGGACACGUCUUUUUUCAGCCUAUACAAUUAUGUAACUAGAGAGCCAAAUGAGAUGGAGACAAAAUGGAGACACAUGAGAUGGCUGGAUUUUUAUUGACAUUCUAUCUUUUCAAACCAUUUCAUUUCACUCUGCCACAUUUGAAUCAUGCCUAUUGCCCAGCGCACUCUAUAGACCAACAGCCAGAAUAAAGUAGACUGCAUGAGGUUCUGUAAGUCUAUUCAGAAGAUGGCAGAAAAGGUUUAGUUAGCAGUACACAAGGUUUGGCCAAGGUACACACAGCUUGCAAAGAAAAACAACUCAAAUGACCAAACAGGUCAGAACCAGUACUCCUUUAUAAUCGAGUCUCUCUAUCCACUGUGAAACAUGCCAGGAUUUGGGGUCAGAUUGCAAAAAACCCUGCAGUGUAUUGAGCG
This is a non-coding RNA of Pelobates cultripes (western spadefoot toad), 427 nucleotides long. Lineage: Eukaryota; Metazoa; Chordata; Amphibia; Anura; Pelobatidae. The record is from the annotation of a GenBank genome assembly.